CUGCGCGCGCCGCUAGGGAAGGCGGGGCGCCGCAGGGUAGCGAUGCCUCGCGGACCGCCCCAGGCGGAGCAGGGAG
RNAcentral lists this non-coding RNA (76 nucleotides) under uncultured eukaryote. The record is from RNAcentral.